Molecule: ribosomal RNA, 305 nt
Filed under: uncultured bacterium
Lineage: Bacteria
Description: bacterial SSU rRNA
Rfam family: Bacterial small subunit ribosomal RNA
Source: RNAcentral
AUCGGCCUACGGGAGGCAGCAGUGGGGAAUAUUGCACAAUGGGGGAAACCCUGAUGCAGCGACGCCGCGUGAGUGAAGAAGUAUCUCGGUAUGUAAAGCUCUAUCAGCAGGAAAGAUAAUGACGGUACCUGACUAAGAAGCCCCGGCUAACUACGUGCCAGCAGCCGCGGUAAUACGUAGGGGGCAAGCGUUAUCCGGAUUUACUGGGUGUAAAGGGAGCGUAGACGGCAGUGCAAGUCUGGAGUGAAAGGCGGGGGCUCAACCCCCGGACUGCUCUGGAAACUGUACGGCUGGAGUGCAGGAGG